RNAcentral lists this ribosomal RNA (480 nucleotides) under uncultured bacterium. Its description in RNAcentral is "bacterial SSU rRNA". It matches the Rfam family "Bacterial small subunit ribosomal RNA", at positions 28 to 524 of the family's 1533-position model. The record is from RNAcentral.
GACGAACGCUGGCGGCGUGCCUAACACAUGCAAGUCGAACGAGGUCCAUCCUUCGGGAGAAGACCUAGUGGCGAACGGGUGAGUAACACGUGAGAAACCUGCCCCGAAGACCGGGAUAACCCUCCGAAAGGAGAGCUAAUACCGGAUGCCCCCCACCGAGCCGCAUGGCUUGGUGAGGAAAUGGAUUCCGCUUCGGGAGGGUCCCGCGGCCUAUCAGCUAGUUGGUGGGGUAACGGCCCACCAAGGCAUCGACGGGGUAGCUGGUCUGAGAGGACGAUCAGCCACACUGGGACUGAGACACGGCCCAGACUCCUACGGGAGGCAGCAGUGGGGAAUCUUACGCAAUGGGCGAAAGCCUGACGCAGCAACGCCGCGUGGGGGGAUGAAGGCUCUCGGGUUGUAAACCCUUCAGCAGGACGAAAUCAGACGGUACCUGCAGAAGAAGACUCCGGCUAACUACGUGCCAGCAGCCGCGGUAAU